CACGUAGGGUGCGAGCGUUGUCCGGAAUCAUUGGGCGUAAAGCGCGCGUAGGCGGCCCGGUAAGUCCGCUCUGAAAGUCCAAGGCUCAACCUUGGAAUGCGGGUGGAUACUGCCGGGCUAGAGUCCGGAAGAGGCGAGUGGAAUUCCUGGUGUAGCGGUGGAAUGCGCAGAUAUCAGGAGGAACACCCAUAGCGAAGGCAGCUUGCUGGGACGUUACUGACGCUAAGGCGCGAAAGCGUGGGGAGCGAACAGG
This 253-nucleotide ribosomal RNA is filed under the name uncultured bacterium. Its description in RNAcentral is "partial 16S ribosomal RNA". It matches the Rfam family "Bacterial small subunit ribosomal RNA", at positions 524 to 776 of the family's 1533-position model. The record is from RNAcentral.